Molecule: unclassified non-coding RNA, 220 nt
Filed under: Basidiomycota sp.
Lineage: Eukaryota; Fungi; Basidiomycota
Description: partial contains small subunit ribosomal RNA, internal transcribed spacer 1, and 5.8S ribosomal RNA
Rfam family: Eukaryotic small subunit ribosomal RNA (bases 1-47)
Source: RNAcentral
AAAGUCGUAACAAGGUUUCCGUAGGUGAACCUGCGGAAGGAUCAUUACAAAAUGUAAAGUGUGGGCGAGCUUAUGUCGCAAGACUGAAUCUCGUCCAUAUUAAGCCCACUCCCGAAAGGGAGAUGGACGCACACUUCGGUGUGUAACAUAGAAUUUAAAUCAUGACUUAUUCCAAACAUUAAAAUAACCAAAACUUUUAACAAUGGAUCUCUUGGCUCUU